This 97-nucleotide transfer RNA is filed under the name Candidatus Bathyarchaeota archaeon. Its description in RNAcentral is "tRNA-Val". It matches the Rfam family "tRNA". Rfam says of the family: Transfer RNA (tRNA) molecules are approximately 80 nucleotides in length. Their secondary structure includes four short double-helical elements and three loops (D, anti-codon, and T loops). The record is from RNAcentral. Lineage: Archaea; Thermoproteati; Candidatus Bathyarchaeota. RNAcentral also lists the same sequence under 1 other name.
GGGCCGGUAGUCCAGCCUGGUAAGCAUGCAAAUGCGCAGAACGGACGUCGCCCUCACACGGCGAAGGUCGUGGGUUCAAAUCCCUCCCGGCCCACCA